UUGAACGGUCCUUUUUGUGCUUUGUCUUUGUCUAUCAAUGGAGCCAAUAUAUCCCAGUAUCCCACUGCCAAUUUGCAUAGCUACUUUCUCUUUCAAUGGAAAAGGUAGGGGUCUACAGAUGAUUUAAGAGGUUUGUGGGGGUCACUGUCUUUUGUUUGAAUCCAUUGAAUUUGCUUAUCUGGAAUCUGAAAGUUAUUAAUGGCAGGGAUGGCAGCAACUUCAAGAAAGAAAGAAAAAAGACCAAUUCUGAUUGCCAAUUUGCAGCACUGAUGAAAUAAAAAGAUGCCAGGUAUUUUGAGUGUAAGCAACUAGUGAUGUGAUAAGGAUGCCAUUGGAGAAAUCAGUGCACAUUAGUUUGCUUUUCCAGAGGGGAUGGACUUGCUAAUGCCAAUCUGUGUAGGCAGUACAAGGUACAAACGAUAAUCACAUACUUAAUAAACCCACAUGGUACAUCUCCUGCAUCUAGUAACAGGGAAAGAGCUUCAGCUGUUGUUGAAUUUGUGCGGAUGAGCUGCUUCUCUUCACUAGUUUUCUCUGUGGGAAUUGACUCCACUCACUUUUUCAAAAACCUGGAGAAGUAAUAAACGACCUGGGAUUGCUUUGAAUCAUCUUUCAGGUUUACAACUGAAAUGAAUUCAUCCAGUCAUGCAGAAUCUUGUGUAUGCUUAUCCAUUGAAUUCUCAGAUGCUUCAAUGA
RNAcentral lists this long non-coding RNA (696 nucleotides) under Manihot esculenta (cassava). Its description in RNAcentral is "long non-coding RNA (MESC_LNC008208)". The record is from RNAcentral. Lineage: Eukaryota; Viridiplantae; Streptophyta; Magnoliopsida; Malpighiales; Euphorbiaceae.